CCCGAAAGAUCGAACGGGGAGAUUCAUCGUCAGCGGCGUUGGCUUCGCCGUGGCUCGCGAUGUCGCGUCACUCCCCCUCGCGGGUGCGUGUUGGACGCGGCACGCGGUCGCGUCGCGUCAUGACCGGCGUCGUAGGCGUGCACUUCUCCCCCAGUAGGACGUCGCGACCCGUUGGGCGUCGGCAAUAAGGCCCGCAAUGGUAGACUGUCCCGGCGUCUCGCGGCGCACGGUGUCAGACCUUCGCGGUUGCCCGGCCGGCUGCCCGGCGGUACUCGCACGGUAUUGAGCCGCAACUCGAACUUGCGCCCAGCCCGUCGCAAGCUCGGUCAGAGUUUCCCGGUGGUGCGGACCUAGCGCCGUCCCCGGGCCUGGCCAGCUGUUGGCAGACGGUGUCCUCGGGCGGGCUCGCCAAUUCUCCCUCGGGAGGAUAUACCGGUCGGCGACGCUAUUGCUUUGGGUACUUUCA
Molecule: ribosomal RNA, 466 nt
Filed under: Ancyloneura sp. 2 SS-2014
Lineage: Eukaryota; Metazoa; Arthropoda; Insecta; Hymenoptera; Pergidae
Description: eukaryotic LSU rRNA
Source: RNAcentral